UAGCUAGUUGGUAGGGUAAAGGCUUACCAAGGCGACGAUCGGUAGCUGGUCUGAGAGGACGAACAGCCACACUGGGACUGAGACACGGCCCAGACUCUUACGGGAGGCAGCAGUGGGGAAUAUUGGACAAUGGGGGGAACCCUGAUCCAGCAAUGCCGCGUGUGUGAAGAAGGCCUGAGGGUUGUAAAGCACUUUCGGUGGGGAGGAGGAUUUAUUGGUUAAGAGCUGAUGAAUUGGACGAUACCUACAGAAGAAGCACCGGCUAACUCCGUGCCAGCAGCCGCGGUAAUACGGAGGGUGCGAGCGUUAAUCGGAAUUACUGGGCGUAAAGGGUGCGUAGGUGGUUAAUUAAGUUAGGUGUAAAAGUCCUGGGCUUAACCUAGGGAUGAGAUUUAAUACUGAUUAACUGGAGUAUAGGAGAGGGUAGUGGAAUUUCCGGUGUAGCGGUGAAAUGCGUAGAGAUCGGAAGGAACACCAGUGGCGAAGGCGGCUACCUGGCCAGAUACUGACACUGAAGCACGAAAGCGUGGGGAGCAAACAGGAUUAGAUACCCUGGUAGUCCACGCUGUAAACGAUGUCAACUAGCCGUUAGACACAUUAAGGUGUAGAGUGGCGC
Molecule: ribosomal RNA, 616 nt
Filed under: uncultured Legionella sp.
Lineage: Bacteria; Pseudomonadati; Pseudomonadota; Gammaproteobacteria; Legionellales; Legionellaceae
Description: bacterial SSU rRNA
Rfam family: Bacterial small subunit ribosomal RNA
Source: RNAcentral